RNAcentral lists this ribosomal RNA (351 nucleotides) under Salmonella enterica. RNAcentral describes it as "partial 16S ribosomal RNA". It matches the Rfam family "Bacterial small subunit ribosomal RNA", at positions 752 to 1102 of the family's 1533-position model. RNAcentral also lists the same sequence under 1 other name. Lineage: Bacteria; Pseudomonadati; Pseudomonadota; Gammaproteobacteria; Enterobacterales; Enterobacteriaceae. The record is from RNAcentral.
UGCGAAAGCGUGGGGAGCAAACAGGAUUAGAUACCCUGGUAGUCCACGCCGUAAACGAUGUCUACUUGGAGGUUGUGCCCUUGAGGCGUGGCUUCCGGAGCUAACGCGUUAAGUAGACCGCCUGGGGAGUACGGCCGCAAGGUUAAAACUCAAAUGAAUUGACGGGGGCCCGCACAAGCGGUGGAGCAUGUGGUUUAAUUCGAUGCAACGCGAAGAACCUUACCUGGUCUUGACAUCCACAGAACUUUCCAGAGAUGGAUUGGUGCCUUCGGGAACUGUGAGACAGGUGCUGCAUGGCUGUCGUCAGCUCGUGUUGUGAAAUGUUGGGUUAAGUCCCGCAACGAGCGCAAC